GCCGGGGUAUCCAAGCGGCUACGGAGACGGUCUCGAAAACCGUUGCCCUUGAGGCUCAUGGGUUCGAGUCCCAUCCCCGGCGCCA
This 85-nucleotide transfer RNA is filed under the name Candidatus Thorarchaeota archaeon. Its description in RNAcentral is "tRNA-Ser". It matches the Rfam family "tRNA". Rfam says of the family: Transfer RNA (tRNA) molecules are approximately 80 nucleotides in length. Their secondary structure includes four short double-helical elements and three loops (D, anti-codon, and T loops). Further hydrogen bonds mediate the characteristic L-shaped molecular structure. tRNAs have two regions of fundamental functional importance: the anti-codon, which is responsible for specific mRNA codon recognition, and the 3' end, to which the tRNAs corresponding amino acid is attached (by aminoacyl-tRNA synthetases). tRNAs cope with the degeneracy of the genetic code in two manners: having more than one tRNA (with a specific anti-codon) for a particular amino acid; and 'wobble' base-pairing, i.e. permitting non-standard base-pairing at the 3rd anti-codon position. Lineage: Archaea; Promethearchaeati; Candidatus Thorarchaeota. The record is from RNAcentral.